This 466-nucleotide ribosomal RNA is filed under the name uncultured bacterium. Its description in RNAcentral is "bacterial SSU rRNA". It matches the Rfam family "Bacterial small subunit ribosomal RNA", at positions 926 to 1391 of the family's 1533-position model. The record is from RNAcentral.
CAAGCGGUGGAACAUGUGGUUCAAUUCGACGCAACGCGAAGAACCUUACCUGGGCUCGAAGCGUACCUGACCAUUCGCCGAAAGGCGAACUUCCCGCAAGGGACAGGUGCGGAGGUGCUGCAUGGCUGUCGUCAGCUCGUGCCGUGAGGUGUUGGGUUAAGUCCCGCAACGAGCGCAACCCUUAUCCUUAGUUGCCACCCGCAAGGGGGAACUCUAAGGGGACUGCUCCGGAUAACGGAGAGGAAGGUGGGGAUGACGUCAAGUCAGCAUGGCCUUUAUGUCCAGGGCUACACACGUGUUACAAUGCGCGCCACAAAGCGCAGCGAACCCGCGAGGGGGAGCUAAUCGCAGAAAAGCGCGCUCAGUUCGGAUUGCAGUCUGCAACUCGGCUGCAUGAAGCCGGAAUCGCUAGUAAUGGCGCAUCAGCACGGCGCCGUGAAUACGUUCCCCGGGCCUUGUACACACC